GUCUUUAUGAUAUAUUUAUAAAGUCUGGCCUGCCCACUGAGUUUUAAAGGGCCGCGGUAUUUUGACCGUGCAAAGGUAGCAUAAUCAUUAGUCUUUUAAUUGGGGGCUUGUAUGAAUGGUCGCACAAGAAAUAAGCUGUCUUCAACUAAAUUUAUUGAAUUUAACUUUUAAGUAAAAAGGCUUAAAUAAAUUAAAGUGACGAUAAGACCCUAUAAAACUUGAUAAAUAAAGUUAAAAAAAGAUAUUAGUUAAUUGAAACUUUUUUUUGUGGUGUUUAUUUUAUUGGGGCGAUUAAAAUAUAAUAAGUAACUGUUUUUUACAUUUUUAUGAUAAAUAGUCAAGACAAAUAAAUGAUCCUUUAUUAGAGAUUAUAAGAUUAAGUUACUUUAGGGAUAACAGCGUAAUUUUCUUUGGGAGUUCAUAUCUACAAGAAAGAUUACGACCUCGAUGUUGAAUUAAAAAAUCUUUAAGGUGUAGCAGCUUUAAUAGAAGGUCUGUUCGACCUUUAAAUUUUU
This 515-nucleotide ribosomal RNA is filed under the name Euphausia gibboides. Its description in RNAcentral is "partial 16S ribosomal RNA". It matches the Rfam family "Bacterial large subunit ribosomal RNA", at positions 1819 to 2597 of the family's 2925-position model. Lineage: Eukaryota; Metazoa; Arthropoda; Malacostraca; Euphausiacea; Euphausiidae. The record is from RNAcentral.